UACAGAGGGUGCGAGCGUUAAUCGGAAUUACUGGGCGUAAAGCGCACGUAGGUGGCGACGUAAGUCGGGUGUGAAAGCCCCGGGCUCAACCUGGGAAUUGCAUUCGAGACUGCAUUGCUGGAGUACGGAAGAGGAAGGCGGAAUUCCGGGUGUAGCGGUGAAAUGCGUAGAUAUCCGGAGGAACACCGAUGGCGAAGGCAACCGCCUGGGCCUGUACUGACGCUGAGACACGAAAGCGUGGGGAGCAAACAGG
RNAcentral lists this ribosomal RNA (253 nucleotides) under uncultured bacterium. Its description in RNAcentral is "partial 16S ribosomal RNA". It matches the Rfam family "Bacterial small subunit ribosomal RNA", at positions 524 to 776 of the family's 1533-position model. The record is from RNAcentral.